Molecule: ribosomal RNA, 460 nt
Filed under: uncultured bacterium
Lineage: Bacteria
Description: partial 16S ribosomal RNA
Rfam family: Bacterial small subunit ribosomal RNA
Source: RNAcentral
CCUACGGGAGGCAGCAGUGAGGAAUAUUGGUCAAUGGACGAGAGUCUGAACCAGCCAAGUAGCGUGAAGGAUGACUACCCUAUGGGUUGUAAACUUCUUUUAUAUGGGAAUAAAAUGUUCCACGUGUGGGAUUUUGUAUGUACCAUAUGAAUAAGGAUCGGCUAACUCCGUGCCAGCAGCCGCGGUAAUACGGAGGAUCCGAGCGUUAUCCGGAUUUAUUGGGUUUAAAGGGAGCGUAGGUGGAUUGUUAAGUCAGUUGUGAAAGUUUGCGGCUCAACCGUAAAAUUGCAGUUGAAACUGGCAGUCUUGAGUACAGUAGAGGUGGGCGGAAUGCGUGGUGUAGCGGUGAAAUGCUUAGAUAUCACGAAGAACUCCGAUUGCGAAGGCAGUUCACUGGACUGCAACUGACACUGAGGCUCGAAAGUGUGGGUAUCAAACAGGAUUAGAUACCCGAGUAGUC